GAUGAACGCUGGCGGCGUGCCUAACACAUGCAAGUCGAACGGAGUCCAGCCUUUAAGACCUUCGGGUCAGAGAGGGGAAGACUGAGUGGCGGACGGGUGAGUAACACGUGGGCAACCUGGCUCAUAGAGGGGGAUAACAGAGAGAAAUUUCUGCUAAUACCGCAUAAGCACACACUGCCGCAUGGCAGAGGGUGAAAAGAGAAUCGCUAUGAGAUGGACCCGCGUCUGAUUAGCCAGUUGGCAGGGUAAGAGCCUACCAAAGCGACGAUCAGUAGCCGAUCUGAGAGGAUGAACGGCCACAUUGGGACUGAGACACGGCCCAAACUCCUACGGGAGGCAGCAGUGGGGGAUAUUGCACAAUGGGGGGAACCCUGAUGCAGCGACGCCGCGUGAGUGAAGAAGUAUUUCGGUAUGUAAAGCUCUAUCAGCAGGGAAGAUAAUGACAGUACCUGAAUAAGAAGCCCCGGCUAACUACGUG
This 478-nucleotide ribosomal RNA is filed under the name uncultured bacterium. Its description in RNAcentral is "partial 16S ribosomal RNA". It matches the Rfam family "Bacterial small subunit ribosomal RNA", at positions 28 to 507 of the family's 1533-position model. The record is from RNAcentral.